UACAGAGGAGCCAAGCGUUGUCCGGAUUGACUGGGCGUAAAGCGCACGCAGGCGGUUGCGCGCGUGGGGGGUGAAAUCUGGCCGCUUAACGGCCAGGCGCCAUCCCAUACGGCGCGACUGGAGGGCUGCAGAGGUCGAUGGAAUUGCCGGUGUAGUGGUGAAAUUCGUAGAUAUCGGGAGGAACACCGGUGGCGAAGGCGGCGACCUGGGUGGAUACUGACGCUGAGGUGCGAAAGCGUGGGGAGCAAACAGG
RNAcentral lists this ribosomal RNA (253 nucleotides) under uncultured bacterium. RNAcentral describes it as "partial 16S ribosomal RNA". It matches the Rfam family "Bacterial small subunit ribosomal RNA", at positions 524 to 776 of the family's 1533-position model. The record is from RNAcentral.